Molecule: transfer RNA, 63 nt
Filed under: Escherichia coli
Lineage: Bacteria; Pseudomonadati; Pseudomonadota; Gammaproteobacteria; Enterobacterales; Enterobacteriaceae
Description: tRNA-Phe
Rfam family: tRNA
About the family: Transfer RNA (tRNA) molecules are approximately 80 nucleotides in length. Their secondary structure includes four short double-helical elements and three loops (D, anti-codon, and T loops).
Source: RNAcentral
AGCUCAGUCGGUAGAGCAGGGGAUUGAAAAUCCCCGUGUCCUUGGUUCGAUUCCAGAACGCCA